Molecule: ribosomal RNA, 1498 nt
Filed under: metagenome
Description: bacterial SSU rRNA
Rfam family: Bacterial small subunit ribosomal RNA
Source: RNAcentral
AGAGUUUGAUCCUGGCUCAGAGUGAACGCUGGCGGCGUGGAUUAGGCAUGCAAGUCGAGCGAUGCCGAGUAAUCGGCAUAGCGGCAGACUGGUGAGUAACGCGUGAGUAAUUUACCUAUACACCGAGAAUAGCCUUGCGAAAGUAAGGGUAAUACUUGAUGUGUUAACAAAAGCAUAAGCUUUUGUUAGUAAAGGUUUCCGUAAGGAUUCCGUGUAUAGAUGAGCUCGCGUCCUAUCAGCUUGUUGGUGAGGUAACGGCCCACCAAGGCAUUUGACGGGUAGCUGGCCUGAGAGGGUGGUCAGCCACAUGGGGACUGAGACACUGCCCCGACUCCUACGGGAGGCUGCAGUCGAGGAUCUUUAGCAAUGGGCGAAAGCCUGACUAUGCGACGCCGCGUGAGGGAUGAAGGUUUUCGGAUCGUAAACCUCUUUCGAUGGGAAAGAAGGGCCGAGCAACCGGUCUUGACGGUACCCAGAGAAGAAGCCACGGCCAACUCCGUGCCAGCAGCCGCGGUAAUACGGAGGUGGCAAGCGUUACUCGGAUUCAUUGGGUGUAAAGGGCAGGUAGGCGGCUAUGUAAGUUGAGGGUGAAAUCCUUUGGCUCAACCAAAGAACUGCCUUCAAAACUACAUAGCUUGAGAUUGGGAGAGGAGAACGGAAUUCCCGGUGUAGGGGUGAAAUCUGUAGAUAUCGGGAGGAACACCAGUGGCGAAGGCGGUUCUCUGGUCCAACUCUGACGCUGAACUGCGAAAGCUAGGGUAGCAAACAGGAUUAGAUACCCUGGUAGUCCUAGCCGUAAACGAUGAGCACUAGGUGUUUGGGUGAAUAACCUGAGCGCCGCAAGAUAACUCGUUAAGUGCUCCACCUGGGGACUACGGCCGCAAGGCUAAAACUCAAAGGAAUUGACGGGGGUCCGCACAAGCGGUGGAACAUGUGGUUUAAUUCGACGCUACGCGAAGAACCUCACCAGGACUUGACUCGCUAUCAGUAACCCGGCCGAAAGGUUGGGUGACCGUAAAAUCGGAGGAUAGUACAGGUGUUGCAUGGCUGUCGUCAGCUCGUGUCGUGAGAUGUUGGGUUAAGUCCCGCAACGAGCGCAACCAUCGUCCUUAGUUGCCAUCAGAAUCUGAUUCGUCAGAUUGCUGGGCACUCUAGGGAGACUGCCUGUGAUAAGCAGGAGGAAGGUGGAGAUGACGUCAAGUCAGUACGGCCUUUAUGUCCUGGGCCACACACGUGUUACAAUGUUCACUACAAAGCGUUGCCAAACCGCGAGGUGGAGCUAAUCGCAAAAAAGUGAACUCAGUUCGGAUUGGAGUCUGCAACCCGACUCUAUGAAGCUGGAAUCGCUAGUAACGGUGGAUCAGCUACGCCACCGUGAAUACGUUCCCGGACCUUGUACACACCGCCCGUCAAGCGAUGGGAGUUUUGAACACCCGAAGUCCUACUUUAUGUAGGCCGAAGGUGGGCAGGAUGACUGGCGCUAAGUCGUAACAAGGUA